RNAcentral lists this ribosomal RNA (1068 nucleotides) under human gut metagenome. RNAcentral describes it as "bacterial LSU rRNA". It matches the Rfam family "Bacterial large subunit ribosomal RNA", at positions 902 to 1989 of the family's 2925-position model. The record is from RNAcentral.
GUAGAGCACUGAAUGUCCUAGGGGGUAUUGCACUUACCGAAGACUAUCAAACUCCGAAUGCCGUUUUCUUUUACUUGGGAGUCAGACUGUGGGUGAUAAGAUUCAUAGUCAAAAGGGCAACAGCCCAGAUCGUCAGCUAAGGUCCCUAAAUGUACGUUAAGUGGUAAAGGAUGUGGGAUUGCACAGACAACCAGGAUGUUGGCUUAGAAGCAGCCACUCAUUUAAAGAGUGCGUAAUAGCUCACUGGUCGAGUGAUCCUGCGCCGAAAAUUUCCGGGGCUAAAACGUACUACCGAAGCUACGGCAUCAUUUAUGAUGGGUAGGGGAGCUUCGUAUGCAGGCUGAAGCAUGACCGUAAGGACAUGUGGACAGUAUACGAGUGAGAAUGUUGGCAUGAGUAGCGAGACGUGGGUGAGAAUCCCACGGGCCGUAAACCCAAGGUUUCCAGGGGAAGGUUCGUCCGCCCUGGGUUAGUCGGGACCUAAGCCGAGGCCGAAAGGCGUAGGUGAUGGACAACAGGUUGAUAUUCCUGUACCGCCAAUAAGCGUUUGAGAGAUGGAGUGACACAGUAGGAUAAGCUAACCGUACUGUUGGUUAUGUACGGCUAAGCAUUGAGGCAGUCUAAAUAGGCAAAUCCGUUUAGACAAUGCUAGGAUGUGAUGGGGAAGCCCUUCGGGGCGAAGUAGCUGAUUUCACACUGUCAAGAAAAGCUUCUAUCGAGUUUAAAGGCGCCCGUACCGUAAACCGACACAGGUGGGUGAGGAGAGUAUCCUAAGGCCAGCGAGAGAACUAUUGUUAAGGAACUCGGCAAAAUGACCCCGUAACUUAGGGAGAAGGGGUGCCUGUCUAUGACAGGCCGCAGAGAAUAGGCCCAAGCGACUGUUUACCAAAAACACAGGUUUCUGCUAAGUCGCAAGACGAUGUAUAGGAGCUGACGCCUGCCCGGUGCUGGAAGGUUAAGGGGAUCUGUUAGAGCAAUCGAAGCAGUGAACUUAAGCCCCAGUAAACGGCGGCCGUAACUAUAACGGUCCUAAGGUAGCGAAAUUCCUUGUCGGGUAAGUUCCGACCC